UGGGGAAUUUUGGACAAUGGGCGAAAGCCUGAUCCAGCAAUGCCGCGUGUGUGAAGAAGGCCUUCGGGUUGUAAAGCACUUUUGUCCGGAAAGAAAUCCUUGGCUCUAAUACAGUCGGGGGAUGACGGUACCGGAAGAAUAAGCACCGGCUAACUACGUGCCAGCAGCCGCGGUAAUACGUAGGGUGCAAGCGUUAAUCGGAAUUACUGGGCGUAAAGCGUGCGCAGGCGGUUUGCUAAGACCGAUGUGAAAUCCCCGGGCUCAACCUGGGGAACUGCAUUGGUGACUGGCAGGCUAGAGUAUGGCAGAGGGGGGUAGAAUUCCACGUGUAGCAGUGAAAUGCGUAGAGAUGUGGAGGAAUACCGAUGGCGAAGGCAGCCCCCUGGGCCAAUACUGACGCUCAUGCACGAAAGCGUGGGGAGCAAACAGGAUUAGAUACCCUGGUAGUCCACGCCCUAAACGAUGUCAACUAGUUGUUGGGGAUUCAUUUCCUUAGUAACGUAGCUAACGCGUGAAGUUGACCGCCUGGGGAGUACGGUCGCAAGAUUAAAACUUAAAUGAAUUGACGGGGUCAUAGCUGUUUCCU
This 586-nucleotide ribosomal RNA is filed under the name uncultured bacterium. RNAcentral's name for it is "partial 16S ribosomal RNA". It matches the Rfam family "Bacterial small subunit ribosomal RNA", at positions 355 to 1375 of the family's 1533-position model. The record is from RNAcentral.